RNAcentral lists this ribosomal RNA (1830 nucleotides) under Triticum aestivum (bread wheat). RNAcentral's name for it is "partial small subunit ribosomal RNA". Lineage: Eukaryota; Viridiplantae; Streptophyta; Magnoliopsida; Poales; Poaceae. The record is from RNAcentral.
AUGCGGAGAGCCCUCCGCCACCGCCCGCGCCUCCAGCCCCCCACUGAAACACCGCCGGCGCCGUCAGCCCCUCUCCCAUGGUACGCCGCGCCGCGGGCGCCGCCAUCGCAUUCGCCGUCCACGACCGAGGCCGACCCCCUGAUCGUUGCCGCCUCCGAAGUCGCGCUCACUCUGCCAAUCCACCCCGCCCCGCUCCCGACCACGGCGCCGGCGCCGCUCCUGCGCCUCCUCCCCGCCUUCACCUCCGCCCACUUCCUCUCCCUCCUCCGCUCCAACCCCCUCUCCCUCCCGCCGCUCCCGCUCCUCUCCCUCUUCCGCCUACUCCUUCUCGCCUCCCCUCCCGGCCUCUUCCGCCACACGCCCUCCUCCUUCCUCUCCAUGUCCCACCUCCUCCUCCUCCACCGCCUCCCGGACCUCGCUCGCCCGCUCCUCCGCCUCCUAGUCUCCCGACUCGGCCGCUCCUCUCCGCCGCGCCUCCUCCCACUCCUCGUCCCCGCCGCCUCCCCCGGAGACCCCGCCCGUCUCGUCUCCGAACUCGCUGCGGCCUACGCCGACGAGGGCCUCCUCGCCGACGCCUGCUCCCUCGUCCUCCUCGCCCUCCGCGGCGGCACCCGCCUACCGGCGCCCGUGUGCUUCGGCCUCAUGAGCCGGCUCCCCACCACUCCCGAAGCAUACGCUUUCUACCUGCAGCUGCUUGACGCCGGCAUGCCCCCUGAGGUCAGGCAGUUCAACGUGCUGAUGCGAGAUUUUGUUAGAUUUGGAGACCUUGCGAGUGCGCGCAAGGUGUUCGACGAAAUGCGAACCAGGAGCGUGCAGCCGACUGUGGUCAGCUUCAACACCUUGAUUUCAGGCAUGUGUAGAGCGCGCGAUCUGGACGGUGCAGACGAGCUGUACAAGGGAAUGGCGCAGAUGGGUAUCACACCUGAUGUCUACACUUACAGUGCUCUGAUAAAGGGUUUGUCCAGUUCAGGGAGGAUCGAGGAUGCAACAAAGAUGUUUGAUGAAAUGCGCGAGAGGGGCGUGAAACCGAAUGCCAUCGUGUUCACAACAUUGAUCGAUGCACAUUGCAAGGCUGGGGAUGUGAAGGCUGGAAUGGAAUUGUACCAGGACAUGAGGGCAAGGGGUGUGAUGCCAGAUUUAGUGGCAUACAAUGCACUAUUGAAUGGGCUUUGUCGGGCGAGAAAUUUUGAGGCUGCCGAAUGCAUUGUGGAAGAGAUGAGGGGCACAGGUCUGAAGCCAGAUAAGGUGACUUACACCACACUCAUUGAUGGUUGCUGCAAGGACGGCAAGCUAGACACGGCGAUGGAUAUUAAGCAGAAAAUGGCGGACGAAGAGGUUGCGUUGGAUGAGGUGACAUAUACAGCACUCAUCUCCGGGUUGAGCAAGGCACAACGGCCAGUCGAUGCCGAGAGGAUCCUUGUUGAGAUGAUGGAAGCUGGUUUGGAGCCCGACAACACGACCUACACCAUGGUGAUUGACGCCUUCUGUAGGAAAGGCGACGUGAAGACAGGCUUUAAACUACUGAAGGAGAUGCAGAACAAGGGUCGAAAACCAGGAGUUGUGACAUACAACGUGAUUAUGAGUGGCCUCUGCAAGCUGGGGCAGCUGAAGAAUGCCGACAUGCUUCUGAAUGCAAUGCUCAAUAUAGGGGUGCCCCCAGAUGAUAUCACAUACAACAUUCUCUUGGAUGGGCAGUGCAAGCAUGGAAAAGUUACUGAUUCUGAAGAGCUGAAAAGUGCAAAAGGAAUGGUGCCAGAUUUGGGCGUUUAUACUUCACUGAUCAGCGAACUUGUCAAGAAGAAACCAGCUAAGAGCUACCACGAUAGAUAA